Pseudophryne corroboree (corroboree frog) is the source of this 790-nucleotide long non-coding RNA. RefSeq lists it as uncharacterized. NCBI's taxonomy places the organism in Eukaryota, Metazoa, Chordata, Amphibia, Anura, Myobatrachidae. The record is from RefSeq and is a predicted model, not a curated record. The transcript has 3 exons.
GAGCGUUACUAACAGCGUGUGGUGUUACCUAGCAACGCAGCAACAGCCAUCACGUGACCGUGUUACGUCCCUUCUCCUAUCAGGGCGAGCACAACGGCAAGGUGCUGCUGCUGGUGCUGGGAGGCCACACCAGGCCACUUCUCAAGCCCCAUCCCCUUCUGUCUCCCCCUCUCCAGCCCACUCCCCCUCUCCAGCCCACACCCCCUCUCCAGCCCACACCCCCUCUCCAGCCACCACCCCCUCUCCAGCCCAAUCCCCCUCUCCAGCCCAAUCCCCCUCUCCAGCCACCACCCCCUCUCCAGCCACCACCCCCUCUCCAGCCCAAUCCCCCUCUCCAGCCCACUCCCCCUCUCCAGCCCACACCCCCUCUUCAGCCCACACCCCCUCCCCCUCUGUGUCCCAAAAAACCACUCCACCACCCUCACCCUAUCAUUCCCAAACCCCCUCUGUAAGGACCUCCCCCUUCCACUCACAGAAUUAGACCCUCCUUCCCCCAUCCUGCCUCCUUCGCCCAUCCUGCACCCAUCCCUCAUCCAGCCAACCUCACCCAUCCAGCCUCCAUCCCCCAGCCAGACACCUUCGCCCCCAACGCAACUUGAGGGAGGUGGCCAAGUGGCAGAGGAGAAUGUUGCAGUUGGAGAACCCACCACUUUUGUGGCCAUUCUGGACAACAUGCGCCAACACCUGCAUGGCUUAAUGAGGUGUAUUGACCAGCUACAAAAAUUUUCUCGAUUUUUUUUUUUUGUGUUAAAAUUGUAUUUUUCUGUUUUUAAAUAAAAAAAAUAAAAAA